Molecule: non-coding RNA, 1849 nt
Organism: Lolium perenne
Lineage: Eukaryota; Viridiplantae; Streptophyta; Magnoliopsida; Poales; Poaceae
Source: RefSeq, a predicted model, not a curated record
ACAAUGACAGGAAAAACAUGGAGUUCAGAAGUAAAUGAUUCCAAGAUGGACACUAAGAAUGCAAUAGAAGAGAAGAAUUUACACAAAAUAUUCGUAACCUUACAGCUUUCAUUGUUUCAUCAUAUGCAUUGCUUACUCUAUUUCACUGUCAAGUUAAAGUAUCCACCGGUUGUUUGGUUGGCUCAUGUACAUUCUUGUGUAGAGCAUAAUUAGAUAGCCAACAUAUAUAUCCUCAAGUUAAAGAAUGUUUGACUUGAAAGUUUUGCAGAAGUACUCUUCAGCAGUGGUUUUGCAUCCUAAGCCUGAUACUUUACGGGCUUAUGACACUUGUCUUUCUAGAAGUAGCCAGUACUGUUUUUUGUGCCUUUCUACCGUAUGUUUUAAAGGCUAUCUUCUCAGUUUUGUUCUGUAAUGCCUGUGGCUGUAUAUGUCUGCAGGCAACAAGUGUAUCAGGAGUUUCUCUUUAUGUUUCCUGAUUUAUGUUGCUUCUUAUUGCUCCAGAAAGACAACUUUAUUGUGAACUACUGCGUCUACAAGAUUUUCUCUACCUACAACCGUUCAGUUCCGGAUUAUUAAUCAGGCUACUAAAGGAAAGCUUUACUAGAAUGACCAAACUGAAGUUAUAUUUCAGAACUAAAGUAUGCUUCGGAAUGUCAUAGUUGUUCUUUUCCUCUUGCUUUUGCUUCUUGGUUUCCUAUUUUAGUUCAGAUCUACGAUGAUAGUUCAGCUCCUAGCAACAGUACAAAGAAACAAAAUUUCUAUGAUAUUAUGCAGCUAAGAUUACCGAUUCUAGCAUAUGUUGCUUCACAAUACACAAUGAAGGAUAACAUACAUGUCGGUGUCAGCUCAAUCUGCACCUGAUCGAAUUGUUCUGUCGGUUGCUCCUAUCUCCCGUUUCUUCAUGUGGCAACAGCUUCCUCACGACAUGAUGCAAGCUUCUUCCUCUUCGGUUCCUCUAUCUCGAGUUUAAAGUGCUUUUUCCUGAAAUUCAUAAUUCUUGCCCCCUUAUUGGAUAUUUGCAGUUCUGGCUUUCAUUUCUUGGCGCCUUUACGCAAAUUGUGAUGUUUCCUAUGUAUGUUUCUCCUUUUAAGGAAUCUACUGGAUGCUUAACUUGGCCAUCUAAUAAUAUUCAGUUGAGUGGAUAUGACCAUGUUACCAGCCCAACUGCCCAGAAAGAUGAGUGUGUCUCCUCGGGAUGUUGGGAAAUCCGCCAGCUUUCAUGACGUCACGCUACCGGGCACGUCCGCAAUCAAAUGGAAACAGACCCACCAUUAUCUAGCCUGCCAAUCAAUUUGUUUUGUAGGUUGUUCAUGGCUUACCUGUCAAUUCUGCACUACUUCCUGUCGGUAAUGUGCCUUCGUCGGUAUAAAAAUUAAGAGGUGUCUACAUUUGGAACGUAUUGGAAGGUGAGUGUCCAAAUUGAAAAUAGCUACCACUAUCUACAGCCUUCUAUCAUAAUAUAGUAUUACGCGUGCAUCCAAAACCCAGCUUACUGUAUCCUUUGAGGCAAACUGCACUGUAUUAAUGCUCAUCCCAGAAGUGGCAAUCUUUUCCUAUGUACAUGAAUUAAUUUUUCUUGCAGAAUAUUGGCUGCGGUGUUUGAUUCACUGCACUGUAUUAAGUUACUAAAACGAUGCUCAUACUGACAUGUUACAUUUCUACCUGAUGGUAACUAGGAGUCAUGACGCACUACUGGAAUGCAGGUAAUGUUGUAGUAUCCUCCUGUAAGUCAUAUAACUAUUUCAUCUUCGUAACAUCGGUGUUAUCAUCCAUUUGCUAAUUGGCUCAUUGUAGGCUAGCUGGUAAUGAUAUGACAAUUUAUUGAUUGUAGCUGCUUAUUUGUCAUCAA